Molecule: transfer RNA, 68 nt
Filed under: Podarcis lilfordi (Lilford's wall lizard)
Lineage: Eukaryota; Metazoa; Chordata; Lepidosauria; Squamata; Lacertidae
Description: tRNA.Val
Source: RNAcentral
GAAACUCAGUUGGUUAGAGCAUGGUGCUGACAACGCCAAGAUUGCAGGUUUGAUCCCCGUAUGGGACA